Molecule: ribosomal RNA, 462 nt
Filed under: uncultured eukaryote
Lineage: Eukaryota
Description: eukaryotic LSU rRNA
Rfam family: Eukaryotic large subunit ribosomal RNA
Source: RNAcentral
CAGGUGUGUUCAUAACGAUCCUUGAAAAUCCAAGGGAGAUGUUCAUAUCCCCCCUAGGCGUACCCAUAACCGCAUCAGGUCUCCAAGGUUAGCAGCCUCUGGUCAAUAAAAUAAUGUAAAUAAGGGAAUUCGGCAAAUUAGAUCCGUAACUUCGGGAAAAGGAUUGGCUCUGAGGGUUGGGCGGCUGAGGCCUCUUCAUGAAAGCAGAAGUAAAAUUGAAGCUGACUUCACCGUUGGCUUCUUUUUGUUGAAGUUAGAUUGUUGGGGUGUUUUCAUCGACUUUCUCGUCGCAUAAAACAACUGACUCAGAACUGAAGCGGACAAGGGGAAUCCGACUGUUUAAUAAAAACAUAGCUUUGUGAUGGCCUGAAAAGGUGUUGACACAAAGUGAUUUCUGCCCAGUGCUUUGAACGUGAAUAUGAAGUAAUUUGUAGAAGCUCAGGUAAACGGCGGGAGUAACUA